Molecule: long non-coding RNA, 1004 nt
Organism: Magnolia sinica
Lineage: Eukaryota; Viridiplantae; Streptophyta; Magnoliopsida; Magnoliales; Magnoliaceae
Exons: 2
Source: RefSeq, a predicted model, not a curated record
GAAUUUGAAGGAAUUGUUUGCUUGUGAGUCCUUGCUAUCUGCAAUAAUCUAGAAAUAUUUAAAUUUCUGUGUUAUCUUAUUUUGCAUGUUUACAAGAAAUGGUUGUUUCAUUAUAGUACGUUUGGCAGGAUAUUCAAUGAUCCUAAAUCCUGCUCUUAGUCCAACAGAGGUAGUUUCUGUUCUGAUUGGAUGCAGUUGUUGCCAAAUGUGAUAGAUAGAUAGCGGAAUUACAUUGGUUCUUCCAUAUAACUCGGCCACCAAACGCACCUGGGGACCCAAAAACGAAAAUGUGGGACAUAUAUGUGAUUUUAUUGCGAUAAAUGGUGCAUUAGUACGUUUGUUCAAAAAGAAAACAUUGUGUAGACCAACAAAAGAAGAGAAAAGAAGAGAAAAGAAAACAGAGUAAUAUGAAUUACAAUAUUAUGGGACUUUUCGGGUGUAUACUAGAAUGGAAUGAGAAUGGAACUGGCAUUUUUCAAAAGUGGAGCUGUUUGGAGCAUCCUGGAAAAUGCAAAUGGUGGGAUGUGCUAAAUGCUCUCAUCUGCAGAAGCACCUCAAUGAGAAUGGGUCACAGUUGAUGCAUGCACCUGUUUUCAUAUUAUGGAAGAUCCAACCUGGUGAUACAUUAUCCAUGGUUCUAAUUUUUAUUUGUAUUUGAGUAACAAGAUUUGAUUGAAGAAAAAACUAAGGAUACAAGGGUUAAAGAAGAGGCAAGAAGAACCGACUACGGCCUCACAUCACUCUUUGCUUAGCAAGAGUGUUGGCAGUCUUGCAUCCCAUUGAUUGAAAAAAAAGAGGGAAAAAGAUAUUGGUUGGCUCCCCUUAGUACAUAAGAAAUUCAUAAUAAGGGAGCCAACUUCUGCAUUUUGGGUAUGGUAAAGGAUAUCCUCUGACUGCUGGGAUCCAAUGAAAUUGCCCUUGUUUCUUGAUAAAAUUUUCAUCUAACCUUCCAAAAAAAAAAAAAAAGAGAAAAAAAAGAAGAAACUGCCCUUUUAAUAGUGUUC